UCUCGGUUUACACCGGCAGUUUCGUUAGAGUUCCCGGCAUUACCCGCUGGCAACUAACAAUAGGGGUUGCGCUCGUUAUGGGACUUAACCCGACACCUCACGGCACGAGCUGACGACAACCAUGCAGCACCUAGGAGAUUGCUCCGAAGAGAAUCCCGGUUUCCCGGGAGGUCAAUCCCCUUUCAAGCCCAGGUAAGGUUCCUCGCGUAUCAUCGAAUUAAACCACAUGUUCCUCCGCUUGUGCGGGCCCCCGUCAAUUCCUUUGAGUUUCAGCGUUGCCGCCGUACUCCCCAGGUGGAUCACUUAUUGCUUUCGCUCAGUCGCUGACGGUGUAUCGCCAACAACGAGUGAUCAUCGUUUACGGCGUGGACUAC
Molecule: unclassified non-coding RNA, 374 nt
Filed under: uncultured Bacteroidales bacterium
Lineage: Bacteria; Pseudomonadati; Bacteroidota; Bacteroidia; Bacteroidales
Description: contains 16S-23S intergenic spacer region
Source: RNAcentral